ACAUACGACCAUAGACUCAAGAGAACUGGGCAUCCCGUCCGCUCUGCCAUACAUAACCUUGAGAUCGGUGGAUUAGUAGUUGGGUGGGUGACCACCAGCGAAUACCUACUGUUGUAUGUC
Ribosomal RNA from Pseudogymnoascus pannorum, 120 nucleotides. The record is from Rfam. Lineage: Eukaryota; Fungi; Ascomycota; Leotiomycetes; Thelebolales; Thelebolaceae.